Molecule: unclassified non-coding RNA, 306 nt
Filed under: plant metagenome
Description: partial contains 5.8S ribosomal RNA, internal transcribed spacer 2, and large subunit ribosomal RNA
Rfam family: 5.8S ribosomal RNA (bases 1-105)
Source: RNAcentral
GAAAUGCGAUAAGUAAUGUGAAUUGCAGAAUUCAGUGAAUCAUCGAAUCUUUGAACGCAGAUUGCGCCCGCCAGUAUUCUGGCGGGCAUGCCUGUCCGAGCGUCAUUUCAACCAUCAAGCCCCCGGGCUUGUGUUGGGGACCUGCGGCUGCCCGCAGGCCCUGAAAACCAGUGGCGGGCUCGCUGUCACACCGAGCGUAGUAGCAAUCACCUCGCUCAGGGCGUGCUGCGGGUUCCGGCCGUUAAACAGCCUUACAAAACCCAAGGUUGACCUCGGAUCAGGUAGGAAGACCCGCUGAACUUAAGC